AGUGGAUUGGAGAGAGAAAAGACAUAAAUCUAGCUAACCUGAGCUCACCACUUAUCACAUGUCCUGAUCAAUACCGCUGCUUCCUAGGAAAUUAGUACAAACUCCCUUGAUCUAUGACAUAACCCCACUUACAUCACUUUUUUUUUUGGAUUUCCUUGAUUUGAUCUCAGUCCAGGUCUGAGGCUAGUCUUCCGGAUGCCAGGAAUCAUGUGGGACAAGAGGCAAACAUCUCCUGAGAUGCCAGGGAGCGCUAUUCUUAACCCAAUCAAAGAGGCAGCUGAGCUUUGUGAAGAGAGGAGCCACAAAGCUUCCCCAUUUGCUAACCUCAGCUGUCAUCCAAGUACUCACAGGAAAUUCGUGCUUCCGCUUCAUCCACAGGUUUUGGAGUCUCACACUCUUGCAGUAAGGCAUCCUUCCCGAACCCCAGGGGUGCACCUCUUCACCCUCACAACACUAUGAGUUCUUCUAAGAAGUCCUCCUUUAAGUCAUCCAGCCCAGUGGAAAGACAAACGCAGUAGAUGAUCUUGGCAUCCUCAAAAUCUAAUCAAGAUCUAAGUGCUGCUUCUGCAGCCUUCAUGGCUAUUGAAAUAAAUUAUUAUCUUUUACCUCUUCUGAUGGCA
This 620-nucleotide long non-coding RNA is filed under the name Monodelphis domestica (gray short-tailed opossum). RNAcentral's name for it is "lncRNA (ENSMODG00000044870.1)". The record is from RNAcentral. Lineage: Eukaryota; Metazoa; Chordata; Mammalia; Didelphimorphia; Didelphidae.